This 804-nucleotide long non-coding RNA is filed under the name Mytilus galloprovincialis (Mediterranean mussel). The record is from RNAcentral. Lineage: Eukaryota; Metazoa; Mollusca; Bivalvia; Mytilida; Mytilidae.
GUUUAACGAUUAUUAUAUUGUGUAUUUCUGCAUUUCUCUGUCUUAGUGUUGUCUUGUUUGUUUGUGCUGUAUUUCUGUCUCGUAGUGAUAUCAUUUUAGCGGAUUUUUUUUAAAACAUUGUUAUUUAAGUUCGAGGUUUAGUAAGCCAUACAACCAGACUCAACGCCCCAUUUUUCUUGAAACGUCCUGUACAAAGUCAGGAACAUGGCAGUUGUCAUCAAAUAGUUCCUGUCUAUAAAUAUAUGUUUGUUGCAUUGGAUUUUGUUUUUUGUUAUACUUUAUUGAUUCUGAUUUUCCAUUGUUUUCCUCAUAUAGUUGAUGUGUUUUCCUCGGUUUUAGUAUGUAAACCGAGUUUCCUUCAAUCGAUUUAUGACUUUUGACCAGCGGUACACUACUGGUGCAUUUAGUUAUGAAUAUCCUGUAGCAGAAGAAACUACGUAUUUAACUUCAAGCCUAAUAUAAAGUGACAAUUUUCUGAUUCAAAUCAAUCGAUUUCAUUCGACUAUUCGGCCGUGUUAAGAGUUACAGUUUUCCAUGAUACAUAUUGUUUUAUCUUUUAUUGAUAUUAACUGUACUUGUAUCAUUUAUUUUGUUUCACAAUACAUGUGUACUUCAAUUUAGAGCCUGCAGGAAACUUAAGCGUUAUGUUAUUGUGCAUCAUAUUUUGUAUAUUCACUCUUUUUUCUCAUUCUUUUCUCCACACGCGACUUAAAGGAUCCCUUUACAACCCUCACUUCACUUAAUAUAUUAGAACGUGGAGAAUUACUCAGCUCAUAUCAUUUGUAAUAAGAUAAAAAGGAAAGC